This is a small nucleolar RNA of Arvicola amphibius (Eurasian water vole), 102 nucleotides long. RefSeq annotates it as small nucleolar RNA SNORA68. Lineage: Eukaryota; Metazoa; Chordata; Mammalia; Rodentia; Cricetidae. The record is from RefSeq and is a predicted model, not a curated record. The transcript has a single exon.
AAUACACAUUAAGAGUGGUCUGGGUGCACACAGCAAAGGAACUUCGUCGCCUUUGAGGGGCUGUGCAGUACCCCCCAGAGUGAAUCAGGAGGUUCCACAGCC